Long non-coding RNA from Asparagus officinalis (garden asparagus), 821 nucleotides. RefSeq lists it as uncharacterized. The record is from RefSeq and is a predicted model, not a curated record. Lineage: Eukaryota; Viridiplantae; Streptophyta; Magnoliopsida; Asparagales; Asparagaceae. The transcript has 7 exons.
UUAUUCCCCUCUCCGUCUAAAAAUCCCCAACCAGGACAAACCCCCUCUCUCUCUAGAACCCCCAAAUCCCUCCCGCUCUCUCUCUCAUCUCUACGCCGCCGCUCACCAAAACCUCCAGACCUCCCUCAACCCCGACGGAUCCCUCUCCCGCCGCGCCGAGAUCCUCCUCAUCCCCCCUCCUCCUCCAUCUCCACCGCCGGCGUUGCCCUCUCCAGGUUUCUCUUUGUGUUAGGAGGUUGGUUUAUACCAAUGAUCAGGGAGAGAUUGUUAAGGGGGUUUGCUCAAAUUUCAUAUGUGACAUGAAGCCGGGAGCUGAAGUGAAGAUUACAGGACCGGUUGGGAAAGAAAUGCUUAUGCCCAAAGAUCCAAAUGCAACUAUUAUAAUGGAACCGGAAUUGCUCCAUUCCGUAGUUUCUUAUGGAAAAUGUUCUUUGAGAAGCAUGAUGAUUACAAGUUCAAUGGAUUGACAUGGCUCUUCUUGGGAGUUCCCACAAGUAGCUCAUUGCUCUACAAGGAGAGCUGAGUGUCUCAUGGCAAGAUCUUGAGUUAAUUGCUGACCCAGACAAUACUGAUGCUUUAAAAGUGAGGAUUCUUGUCAUGGAGGAUCAAGGAGGAAGAAACAUGAUGCUUCAACAACUUGGAGGAGUAAAUGCAAUUGGAUUCUAUAAAUUAUGCAAAGUUCAUUAAGUUAUGUAAACAAUUGUAUUCUUUAUAAUCAAUCUAUGUAAAAAAUUUAUGCACCUUUCUAGUAUUUUGGUGAAUGUAUUAUUUGAAUAUAAUUAUAUUUGAUAUUGAAAUAUAAUUAGAUCGAUUGUGUUGGA